AACGUAGGACACAAGCGUUAUCCGGAGUUACUGGGCGUAAAGGGCGUGUAGGCGGAGAUGUAAGUCUAUUCUGAAAGCUCCUGGCUAAACUGGGAGAGGCGAAUGGAGACUGCAUAUCUAGAGUGAGGAAGAGGAAAGUGGAAUUCCGCGUGUAGUGGUGAAAUGGCGUAGAGAUGCGGGGGAACACCAGUGGCGAAAGCGACUUUCUGGUCCUUAACUGACGCUGAGGCGCGAAAGCAUGGGGAGCGAACGGG
RNAcentral lists this ribosomal RNA (254 nucleotides) under uncultured bacterium. RNAcentral's name for it is "partial 16S ribosomal RNA". It matches the Rfam family "Bacterial small subunit ribosomal RNA", at positions 524 to 776 of the family's 1533-position model. The record is from RNAcentral.